RNAcentral lists this ribosomal RNA (253 nucleotides) under uncultured bacterium. Its description in RNAcentral is "partial 16S ribosomal RNA". It matches the Rfam family "Bacterial small subunit ribosomal RNA", at positions 524 to 776 of the family's 1533-position model. The record is from RNAcentral.
UACGGAGGGUGCGAGCGUUGUCCGGAAUCACUGGGCGUAAAGGGCGCGUAGGCGGCCUGAUAAGUAGGGGGUGAAAUCCUGCGGCUUAACCGCAGGGCUGCCUUCUAAACUGUCAGGCUGGAGCACAGUAGAGGCAGGUGGAAUUCCCGGUGUAGCGGUGGAAUGCGUAGAGAUCGGGAAGAACAUCAGUGGCGAAGGCGGCCUGCUGGGCUGUUGCUGACGCUCAGGGGCGAAAGCGUGGGGAGCAAACCGG